UACGUAGGGACCGAGCGUUGUCCGGAUUUAUUGGGCGUAAAGAGCUCGUAGGCGGCUUGUCGCGUCGAAUGUGAAAACUCGGGCUCAACUCCGAGCUUGCAUUCGAUACGGGCAGGCUAGAGUUCGGUAGGGGAGACUGGAAUUCCUGGUGUAGCGGUGAAAUGCGCAGAUAUCAGGAGGAACACCGGUGGCGAAGGCGGGUCUCUGGGCCGAUACUGACGCUGAGGAGCGAAAGCGUGGGGGAGCGAACAGG
This 253-nucleotide ribosomal RNA is filed under the name uncultured bacterium. RNAcentral describes it as "partial 16S ribosomal RNA". It matches the Rfam family "Bacterial small subunit ribosomal RNA", at positions 524 to 776 of the family's 1533-position model. The record is from RNAcentral.